CGCGGGGUGGAGCAGUCUGGUAGCUCGUCGGGCUCAUAACCCGGAGGUCGCUGGUUCAAAUCCAGCCCCCGCCACCA
RNAcentral lists this transfer RNA (77 nucleotides) under Thermosediminibacter litoriperuensis. Its description in RNAcentral is "tRNA-Met". It matches the Rfam family "tRNA". From Rfam's summary of the family: Transfer RNA (tRNA) molecules are approximately 80 nucleotides in length. Their secondary structure includes four short double-helical elements and three loops (D, anti-codon, and T loops). Further hydrogen bonds mediate the characteristic L-shaped molecular structure. tRNAs have two regions of fundamental functional importance: the anti-codon, which is responsible for specific mRNA codon recognition, and the 3' end, to which the tRNAs corresponding amino acid is attached (by aminoacyl-tRNA synthetases). tRNAs cope with the degeneracy of the genetic code in two manners: having more than one tRNA (with a specific anti-codon) for a particular amino acid; and 'wobble' base-pairing, i.e. permitting non-standard base-pairing at the 3rd anti-codon position. Lineage: Bacteria; Bacillati; Bacillota; Clostridia; Thermosediminibacterales; Thermosediminibacteraceae. The record is from RNAcentral. RNAcentral also lists the same sequence under 1 other name.